This 492-nucleotide ribosomal RNA is filed under the name uncultured bacterium. RNAcentral describes it as "bacterial SSU rRNA". It matches the Rfam family "Bacterial small subunit ribosomal RNA", at positions 28 to 507 of the family's 1533-position model. The record is from RNAcentral.
GAUGAACGCUAGCUACAGGCUUAACACAUGCAAGUCGAGGGGAAACGACAUUGGAAGCUUGCUUCCUUUGGGCGUCGACCGGCGCACGGGUGAGUAACGCGUAUCCAACCUUCCCGCAAGUAAGGGAUAACCCGUAGAAAUGCGGCCUAAUACCUUAUGUUUUCCUUAGAGGGCAUCUGAUGAGGAACAAAGAUCCGUCGCUUGCGGAUGGGGAUGCGUCUGAUUAGGUUGUUGGCGGGGCAACGGCCCACCAAGCCUACGAUCAGUAGGGGUUCUGAGAGGAAGGUCCCCCACAUUGGAACUGAGACACGGUCCAAACUCCUACGGGAGGCAGCAGUGAGGAAUAUUGGUCAAUGGGCGCGAGCCUGAACCAGCCAAGUAGCGUGCGGGACGAAGGCCCUAUGGGUUGUAAACCGCUUUUUCAGGGGGAUAAAGUGAGUGACGUGUCAUUCAUUGCAGGUACCCUGCGAAUAAGGACCGGCUAAUUCCGUG